CCUACGGGAGGCAGCAGUGAGGAAUAUUGGUCAAUGGACGAGAGUCUGAACCAGCCAAGUAGCGUGAAGGAUGACUGCCCUAUGGGUUGUAAACUUCUUUUAUAUGGGAAUAAAAUGUUCCACGUGUGGGAUUUUGUAUGUACCAUAUGAAUAAGGAUCGGCUAACUCCGUGCCAGCAGCCGCGGUAAUACGGAGGAUCCGAGCGUUAUCCGGAUUUAUUGGGUUUAAAGGGAGCGUAGGUGGAUUGUUAAGUCAGUUGUGAAAGUUUGCGACUCAACCGUAAAAUUGCAGUUGAAACUGGCAGUCUUGAGUACAGUAGAGGUGGGCGGAAUUCGUGGUGUAGCGGUGAAAUGCUUAGAUAUCACGAAGAACUCCGAUUGCGAAGGCAGUUCACUGGACUGCAACUGACACUGAGGCUCGAAAGUGUGGGUAUCAAACAGGAUUAGAUACCCCAGUAGUC
RNAcentral lists this ribosomal RNA (460 nucleotides) under uncultured bacterium. RNAcentral's name for it is "partial 16S ribosomal RNA". It matches the Rfam family "Bacterial small subunit ribosomal RNA", at positions 338 to 795 of the family's 1533-position model. The record is from RNAcentral.